Long non-coding RNA from Leptopilina boulardi, 592 nucleotides. RefSeq lists it as uncharacterized. The transcript has 5 exons. The record is from RefSeq and is a predicted model, not a curated record. Lineage: Eukaryota; Metazoa; Arthropoda; Insecta; Hymenoptera; Figitidae.
UAAAAAAUGUUAAAUAUUAAUAACUUUGAGAAAAUUUUAUAACUUUUUUUAUUUGAAAAAAUAUGCGCUGAUAGAUAUUUCUGCGCCUAUAAAAGUGUGGACAAUUGUUAAAUAUUCAUACAUUUUCAGUUUGACAUUAGUACGGGUUCCUAAUCCAUCGGGUGUUAAAGCAUUUUUCACAAGUAAUCGCAAUAUUAGCCAAAAAUGUCUAAUUGGAUAAGAUUUUUGGUGUUGUUUCUCAGCAUUUUAUUUGUCGCAGACACAAGUUUAAUACGUAAUCUGCCCAAGAGAGAUAGAAAUUCAUUGAGCAGUUCUGGGUCUUCUGAAAAUUCUAGUGGCGGUUCAAUGUUUUCUGGAUUAAGAAGAAGAAGAAGAAGCAGCAGCGGAAUGAGUGAUUCAUCUAGUCGAAGUCGGAGUUCACUCAGUAACGAAUCUUCAUAAAAGAGUCAGCAAUAUGGCUUUUACAACAUAAACUAGCAUAUGGCUGAAUUCCUCUAAAAAGUGAACGUCAUAUGUAACUUGUUUAUAUUGUAAUCCUGUAAUUUGUCUUAUUGACUGAUUUACUGAAUGAAUAAAUAAAUAAAAAAACUAA